AGGCAGCAGUGGGGAAUUUUGGGCAAUGGGGGAAACCCUGAUCCAGCCAUGCCGCGUGUAUGAAGAAGGCCUUAGGGUUGUAAAGUACUUUUGUUAGGGAAGAAAAGCUAGUUUUUAAUAAAAAUUAGUGAUGACGGUACCUAAAGAAUAAGCACCGGCUAACUACGUGCCAGCAGCCGCGGUAAUACGUAGGGUGCAAGCGUUAAUCGGAAUUAUUGGGCGUAAAGCGAGUGCAGACGGUUACUUAAGCCAGAUGUGAAAUCCCCAAGCUUAACUUGGGACGUGCAUUUGGAACUGGGUGACUAGAGUGUGUCAGAGGGAGGUAGAAUUCCACAUGUAGCGGUGGAAUGCGUAGAGAUGUGGAGGAAUACCGAUGGCGAAGGCAGCCUCCUGGGAUAACACUGACGUUGAGGCUCGAAAGCGUGGGGAGCAAACAGGAUUAGAUACCCUGGUAGUCCACGCCCUAAACGAUGACAAUUAGCUGUUGGGCUUUGAAAGGCUUAGUAGCGAAGCUAACGCGAGAAAUUGUCCGCCUGGGGAGUACGGUCGCAAGAUUAAAACUCAAAGGAAUUGACGGA
This 578-nucleotide ribosomal RNA is filed under the name uncultured bacterium. Its description in RNAcentral is "bacterial SSU rRNA". It matches the Rfam family "Bacterial small subunit ribosomal RNA", at positions 346 to 917 of the family's 1533-position model. The record is from RNAcentral.